GACGAACGCUGGCGGCGUGCUUAACACAUGCAAGUCGAACGGAAAGGCCCUGCUUGCAGGGUACUCGAGUGGCGAACGGGUGAGUAACACGUGGGUGAUCUGCCCUGCACUUCGGGAUAAGCCUGGGAAACUGGGUCUAAUACCGGAUAGGAGCCAUUUUUAGUGUGAUGGUUGGAAAGUUUUUUCGGUGUAGGAUGAGCUCGCGGCCUAUCAGCUUGUUGGUGGGGUAAUGGCCUACCAAGGCGGCGACGGGUAGCCGGCCUGAGAGGGUGGACGGCCACAUUGGGACUGAGAUACGGCCCAGACUCCUACGGGAGGCAGCAGGGGGGAAUAUUGCACAAUGGGCGCAAGCCUGAUGCAGCGACGCCGCGUGGGGGAUGACGGCCUUCGGGUUGUAAACCCCUUUCGCUAGGGACGAAGCUUUUUGUGACGGUACCUAGAGAAGAAGCACCGGCUAACUACGUG
This 465-nucleotide ribosomal RNA is filed under the name uncultured bacterium. RNAcentral's name for it is "partial 16S ribosomal RNA". It matches the Rfam family "Bacterial small subunit ribosomal RNA", at positions 28 to 507 of the family's 1533-position model. The record is from RNAcentral.